GGGCCGGGCAAGGGAACGGAACGGAACGGAAGGGAACGGAACGGAAGGGAACCGGGAGAGGGACCGGACUCCGCGGGGCAGGAAGCGGCGGCCAGGGGCUCCGGGAAGGGCCCGGGUGAGCGGCGCCUCCGGGUCCCGGCAGCCAUGCCCUUGUCUCCCUCCCGGGCACGGAGCCGGGGCCCGGCGGGGCGGCGAAGCGCGCCGAGGGACCGGGAGCGGCAGCACCGAGCCCAGGUGAGGGACGCCGGGGGUUCCGGGGCUGGGGGGGGGCGGUCUGGCGCCGGGGGAGCCCUGUCUCCCUGCCCGGCCCCGGCCCUCUGCCCGCCGGGGCUGGCCGUGCAGCCCAAGGCUCCCACGCGCUUCAUUGCAGCUCCCGCCUGGCCCAGCUCCGCUCAGGGACGCUCCGGCUCGGCACCAGCUCGGCUCCAGCCCCGCGCUCGGCGCUUCGGCCCCGGCUCCGGCCCGGAGGCGUCUGCGCUCCCGGUGCUGGGCGCUGCGGGGAAGAGAUGCUGCUGCUGCUGCUGCUGCUGCUGCUGCUUCCGACAGCUCCGGCUGAGGGGAACCCGGGCUGCUGCCCUCUCUGGCCUCAGGAAAGCUCCGGCUUGUUCCAGCUCCGGCUGAUGGACGCUCCAGCCCCGCAUGGCUGCAGCUGCAGCUCCAGCCCCGUGUGAUUUCGGCUCCCGAUGCCGCCCGCUCCAGUUUCCAGCUCGCCUUUCGCACGGGCUCAGGGACCCGCCGGCUUGUUGCAGCUCCGGCUCCUCCACGCUCCGGCCGAUGGACGUCCCACCUCGUCCCACCCCUGCCCGCUCCGGCCGAGAGACGCUCCUGCUCCUGACAGCCCCGGGGGCUUUUGUCCAGCUCCGGCCCUGCGUCAUUUUGGGCCCAGCCGAGACACCGGACGUUCCCGUUUCUCGCAGCUCCAGCCCUACCCGAUGGAAACCUCGAGCCCUGCAUGACCUCCUGCUGCUUCCAGCUCCAGGCGCCGGACGCUCGGCUGGUUCCCCUCCCGCUGAGGGGCCCCCAGCUCGGAGUCAGAGCUGCUCCCCAGCUCUGGGGGCUGGUGACGAGGUCGUAAAUCAAUCACUGUCAUCGCUCAAGUACCACCCCUGUCUGGCCCUUGAAUAAAGCCUCGGUGCCCCCAUUUUCGCCCAGAGACUAUCUCA
Molecule: long non-coding RNA, 1163 nt
Organism: Grus americana (Whooping crane)
Lineage: Eukaryota; Metazoa; Chordata; Aves; Gruiformes; Gruidae
Exons: 2
Source: RefSeq, a predicted model, not a curated record